This is a non-coding RNA of Perca fluviatilis (European perch), 2244 nucleotides long. The record is from the annotation of a RefSeq genome assembly. Lineage: Eukaryota; Metazoa; Chordata; Actinopteri; Perciformes; Percidae.
ACCGUGAUAAGCUCUAUUUCAACAAACGGUGGGCGUAUCCCUUUAACAACUGAUAAAAAUCAGCACAAAACACAUAGCUCACAGGAUGACAUCAGGGGAUAAUGCUGAUCAGAAUGUAUGUUCUUUAGUCACGUUAUGAGGUUUUCACACAUUAUUUUUGGUAUGUCAGGUUUUUGUUCCAGCAAUGAGUGGAGAUGCAGCACUGUGAUUACUUUGACUACUGGGGCAGCGGGACUGAAGUCACAGUAACAGAAACUACAACUCUGUUCCCUUUGGUUCAGUACAAACCUGGGGCUGCAGAUAGAAUCACUGUUGGCUGUCUUGCACAAGACUUCUACCCAAAGAGUCUUACUUUCCAGUGGACCAAUGCCAGUGGGAAAAGCCUGACUGCAGCUGUACAAUAUCCUCCAGCUGAGAAAAACAAGAGUCAGUUCGCUCACUGUAUCAAAAUCUGAUUGGGAUUCAAGGAGAACUUAUAGUUGUUCUGUGACUCACUCUGGAGGCAACACGUGAUUUUUUUUAUACUUAUCAUCAUGACUGUCUUAUGUCUAUGGGUCCACCUGCAUCAUCUUAUAAAUCUUGUUUUUUUUUAAAUGAAAAUGUUCACUAAUAAUGUCUGUUUCUCAUGUGUCUGAUAUUUUACAUUCAACAUUCUAAAAUGAAUAAUUACAGACUGACUCUUUGAUGUGAACAGCAGCAACAAGGCACAGGUACCCUCAUCAUCUGCCAACGAGCAGGUACUCCAGGUGACAGCCACCCAGAUAAAAAAAGUAUGUUGACAGCGUCAACCCACGCAAGGCUGCUGGGCCUGACAACAUCCCUGGGCGUGUGGUGAAGGGGUGUGCUGAGCAGCUCAAAGAUAUCUUUGCAGAUAUCUUUAAGAAUGUGUGGUGCCCACCUGCCUUAAAAGCGCCACCAUCAUUCCUGUGCCUAAAAAGCCAAAUCCGAACUGCUUAAAUGACGUCCGUCCCAUGGCUCUUACACCCAUAGCCAUGAAAUGUUGGGAAAAGAUACAGCCUCCACUCCAGAAUCAGCAGAUUGCUGAACAGCUACUUUCCACAGGCUGUUAGGAUUUUAAAUGGACUGUGCCCCCUCCCACUGCCUGAACUGCACUUUGUUUGGACUAAACGCAUGACUGCAUUGCACUUGCACUUUACAUAAUGUGCUGCUAUUCUGCAUAAUCUGCUACUCUCCACUGCACUUUAAUAUUCAAGCUCUUCUUAUAUGUCUAUAUGCUUUAGAUCGUAUUUUAUGUGUUUUUAUCCUAUUUAUUUACUUGUUUUAUACUGACACUAGCUGGGUAUUGUAUGUAUGUAUGGAAGUACACAUGACAAUGACAAUAAAGUAAAUCUUGAAUCUCUUCCACACCCACAGAGGACCCAUUGCCUCGAAAUGGAUCUGUCAAAAUUGAAUUGAACCAACCAAGUCCCAAAGAAAUCUUUAACAACAACCAGGCAAAGUUGAAGUGUAUCAUUACUGGACAGGACCAGAAUGUUAAUGUAAAUCAAAUUCAAAUCACUUGGAAAAUUGAUGGAUCCCCUGUGACCAACAACAUCCAAACAACACAGACGAGAAGCAGCAGAGUCAGCACAAUGACUCUUACCCUCACUGAGUGGUACAAAGUCAACAACGUGGGCUGUUCUGCAACGAAAGCCGAUAUGACACUAGCUAGUCAAGAUCUGACUUUCCGCAAAGGAGAUGGGAGCGAGCCAAAAGUAACAGUCCACAUCCUCCCAGAUGAGGACAUCAUCGAUGAGGUCACUCUGGUGUGCCUGGUUUCCAAUCCAGAGCAGCAGGAUUACUACAUCGCCUGGUCAGAACAUGGAACAAACCCCUCCAGCUAUACUGAUGGCAUUAACUUCCCCCCAAUGAAUACCCAACAAGGAUACUCAGUUGCAAGUAUUUACACGACCACCAAAGACAAGUGGAACAACUUCACCAUGUUCUCCUGCCACGUAUGGCCUGGUAGAGGCGAAAAGCCUAUUCAAUCCAGAGAUGUGUCUAAGGCCAUGAGUAACCCCAUUGAAUGUGAGAAAGAGUAGAUUCAGCUUUAAAUGUGGCAGUUUGUGCUAAUGUGUUGUUCUGUCUCUGUGUGUACUCUCUGCCAUGAGAACCUGUCUUUGUGAUUGUAAAACGGUCAAUUUACUAUUGUUUGUCAUAUUGUGUUUCAAUCUGUCUACGUCACAUUGUCUAACAGCUUGAGAAGUGUGCUGACUGUUUCAAAUAAAUGUUGCAUGGAGACAC